Molecule: long non-coding RNA, 2859 nt
Organism: Homo sapiens (human)
Lineage: Eukaryota; Metazoa; Chordata; Mammalia; Primates; Hominidae
Gene: DHRS4-AS1
Product: DHRS4 antisense RNA 1
Source: Ensembl
GCUGGUUGACUGGGGCAGCCCAGAACACUGGGGAGACUAGAUCGAUAGGGCUGCACAGAGGUGGCACAGUUGUGCCAGAGGUAGCAGGGACAGGAGGGCUGGCAAGGGAGGGUCCAGGGCUAGGGGAUUCGGAGUGGCUUCAGGCGGACCACGUGGCUACCUUUUUUCCAGGGCCAGACUUUGGCAGCGUGUAAGGUCUGAGGACAGGGGCACCGGAGGCCGAGGAUGAGAGGCCAGUGCCUGUUUCCAGGCAGCCAGGGCCUCAGAAACUCCGGCCGGAGCACUCACCCGUCGGUGGAGGCCGUUACCAGGGCCACCUUAUUUGCGAGCGGGUCCCGGCGGGUCAUCCCGGAGCUGGCCAUCCGCACCGAAUUCCAAGCCCGGGCACAGAGGCCUAGCAGCCCCGCCUUGUGCAUGGAUCAGACCAGCAAGUGCCACUUCGGAUAAACCCUUUGGACUCCUAACUCCAAUCAGGUGUCUGCUUUGUUGAGGACUCACAGACACAGUCUCCUUUCUUCAAGAUCUUUACAAUGCAAGACCUCACUAACACACAGGGAUGGUCUCCCAGAGGGUCUGUGCUGUUCCUUCACUCAGAACAUCAAGAUGCACUGAAGUAAGGAUCCUCUAUUCUACAGUUCCUGCUAGCUGAGCUAUUCCAUGGGGGCUUCAGCAGGAAAUUCCAAGGUUGGCUUUGACAAGCUAAGGCCGGCUGGUGGAGCACAUCGAGUUCUGGAGGUUCAUGUGUGUUUUCAUGAAGAUCUGUCUGCCCGUAGCAGAUAAAGAGUUGUUGCCCCACUCCUCCUGGGGUCUUCUAUUUUCCUGGGAGGAAUUUCUGGAUUAACUGAACACACACACACACACACACACCCUUUUGAAGCAUCAACAGUAAUUCUGAGUUCUUAGGGACAAUGCAGAUUAAAUCCACAAUAAGAAAGACAACUAUGGCCAGGUGUGGUGGCUCACGCCUGUAAUCCCAGAACUUUGGGAGGCUGAGGCGGAUGGAUCACCUGAGGUCAGGAGUUAGAGACCAACCUGACCAACAUGGAGAAACCCCGUUUCUACUAAAAAUGCAAAAUUAGCCGGGCAUGGUGGCAGGCGCCUGUAAUCCCAAAUACUCGGGAGGCUGAGGCAGGAGAAUCACUUAAACCCGGGAGGCAGAGGUUGCAGUGAGCCAAGAUCGCGCCAUUGCACUCCAGCCUGGGCAAGAAGAGCAAAACUCCAUCUCAAAAAAAAAAAAAGAGUACUAUUGAUCCAGAGGUGACCAGACUAGCCUCACUGGAGAUAAUAGGUGACAUUAUUAUGCAAAGUGGUUUCAGUUCCCUUGUCUUGUUUUUGGAAUAGUAUAAGAGGCCUACAAUACGAAUAAAUAAGGCCCAUCACAAGCCUCACCAAAGGACAAAACUAAUCCACUUCUGAAGAAGGCUCUUUGUUGGGCCAGAUCAAAUCCUUGGACAGAACUGUACUCUUAAUCUCUGUAGUGAAAGUGGGGGGUAGUUUAAGAAUUUAUUAACCUUCUACCUUGAGCAAUCCCUCAGAAGUAAGAGGUGUCAGGCCUCUGAGCCGAAGCUCAGCCAUUGUAACCCCUGUGACCUGCACAUAUAUGUCCAGAUGGCCUGCAGGAGCCAAGAAGUCUGGGGCAGCUGAAAAACCACACAAGAAGUAAAACAGCCAGUUCCUGCCUUAACUGAUUAACCAACAUUACAACAUUCCACCAUUGUGACCUGUCCCUGUCCUACCUUAACUGAUCAAUCGACCUUGUGACAGUCUUCUUCUGGACAAUGGGUCUUAUCAUCUCCCCACCAUGUACCUUGUGACCCCCUCCUCUGCUAACAAUAGAUAACCACUUUUUACUGUAAUUUUCCAUUACCUACCCAACUCCUAUAAAGCAACCCCUUCCCCAUCUCCCUUCACUGACUCUGUUUUCAGACUCAGCCCACUUGCACUCAAGUGAAUAAACAGCCUUGUUGCUCACACAAAGCCUGUUGGUGGUCUCUUCACACAGAUGUGCUUGACAAAAGGGAAGGGUGGAUUUGUCCUUCUGGUUACAUAUGUUCUGCUCACUCAUUUUGAAUUUAAUUAAACAAGGAUUGCCCUUACCUUUUCAUACUUUGUAAGAAACCAUAAAUACUUAUGCACCAUGAUUUUUUUAAAGAAACACUUUUUAUUUUGAAGUAAUUAUAGUCUCAUAGGAAGUUGCAAAAGUAGUACAUAGAGUCCCUGAGUACUCUUCCCCCAGUGGUGACAACUGUAGUAUAAUAUCAAUUCUGGGAAAUUGACAUUGGUACAAUACCAAAUAUACUAUGCCUUUUUCUCUAAGGCAUGAUGUUGCAGUAGCAUCCUUGUACAUGUAGCUAGGAGAACUUGUACUAAGCCCAGAUAAAUAGUUGAAGUACAAGGGCAAGGAGUGUGUCUUUGAUAUUUUAAUAGAAAUCACCUAUUGCCCUCUAGAAAAGCUGUACCCUUUUCCAGUGGCAGAGAACCUUCCUGAAAGGCAGUCCUGUGUAAUGGUGUCCAUUUCAUCACACCCUUAAAACACUCAGCUUUAACAAACAUGCAGAUUUUUGCUGAUGUGGGAGAAAAUAUUAAUUAUUAAUGAUAUUAAGGUGAUUAUCUUUUCGUAUGUUUAUAGAUAUUUGUAUUUCUUUUUAAAUGAACUGCUCAUGACCUUUGUCUACUUUUAUUUGGGUUUACUUCUUUCUCAUUUAUUCCUAUAAACUCUUUAUAAAAGGAAAUUAACCAUUUGAUUGUCAUAUGUUGUGAAUAUUUUUACCAUUUUGACUUUUGAAUUUAUGUCUUUUUAAUGAAUUGUAGAAGUUUAAAAUCUUUAUGGAAUAAAUUUAUUUAGUUUUUUGUUUAUGG